UGCAAGUCGAACGGCAGCGCGAGAGAGCUUGCUCUCUUGGCGGCGAGUGGCGGACGGGUGAGUAAUAUAUCGGAACGUGCCCAGUAGCGGGGGAUAACUACUCGAAAGAGUGGCUAAUACCGCAUACGCCCUACGGGGGAAAGGGGGGGAUCGCAAGACCUCUCACUAUUGGAGCGGCCGAUAUCGGAUUAGCUAGUUGGUGGGGUAAAGGCUCACCAAGGCAACGAUCCGUAGCUGGUUUGAGAGGACGACCAGCCACACUGGGACUGAGACACGGCCCAGACUCCUACGGGAGGCAGCAGUGGGGAAUUUUGGACAAUGGGGGAAACCCUGAUCCAGCCAUCCCGCGUGUAUGAUGAAGGCCUUCGGGUUGUAAAGUACUUUUGGCAGAGAAGAAAAGGUAUCCCCUAAUACGGGAUACUGCUGACGGUAUCUGCAGAAUAAGCACCGGCUAACUACGUGCCAGCAGCCGCGGUAAUACGUAGGGUGCAAGCGUUAAUCGGAAUUACUGGGCGUAAAGCGUGUGUAGGCGGUUCGGAAAGAAAGAUGUGAAAUCCCAGGGCUCAACCUUGGAACUGCAUUUUUAACUGCCGAGCUAGAGUAUGUCAGAGGGGGGUAGAAUUCCACGUGUAGCAGUGAAAUGCGUAGAUAUGUGGAGGAAUACCGAUGGCGAACGCAGCC
Molecule: ribosomal RNA, 681 nt
Filed under: Alcaligenes faecalis
Lineage: Bacteria; Pseudomonadati; Pseudomonadota; Betaproteobacteria; Burkholderiales; Alcaligenaceae
Description: bacterial SSU rRNA
Rfam family: Bacterial small subunit ribosomal RNA
Source: RNAcentral